Molecule: non-coding RNA, 219 nt
Organism: Thamnophis sirtalis
Lineage: Eukaryota; Metazoa; Chordata; Lepidosauria; Squamata; Natricidae
Source: RefSeq, a predicted model, not a curated record
GCAGGAAGAUCACAGGCAUCAACUUUGCACUGAGAAUAAUUUCUGUCAUCCCAACAAAAACAUGAAUAAUUGCAGAAUCAGCAGACGCCGAGAAACAACAGAGACAUCAAUUCACCUUGCGAGGAGCGCCGGUAUUUGGUUAUAGUGACAGAGGCAAUUUUUGAAGACUUAGCCUGUGUCCAAGAAUUACAAAUUGUGGUCAGAAUAAUAUGCGAACAG